Molecule: ribosomal RNA, 467 nt
Filed under: uncultured bacterium
Lineage: Bacteria
Description: bacterial SSU rRNA
Rfam family: Bacterial small subunit ribosomal RNA
Source: RNAcentral
ACGAACGCUGGCGGCGUGCUUAACACAUGCAAGUCACGGGGGCCCAGCAAUGGGCAACCGGCGAACGGGUGCGUAACACGUGAGUGACCUGCCGAUUUGUGGGGGAUAGCCGGGCCAACGCCCGGGUAAUACCGCAUACGCUCUUCUUGGGGCAUCUCUAGAAGAGGAAACCUCCGGGGCAAAUCGAGGGACUCGCGGCCUAUCAGCUAGUUGGCGAGGUAACGGCUCACCAAGGCUACGACGGGUAGCUGGUCUGAGAGGAUGGCCAGCCACAUUGGGACUGAGAUACGGCCCAGACUCCUACGGGAGGCAGCAGUGGGGAAUAUUGCGCAAUGGCCUAACGGCUGACGCAGCGACGCCGCGUGUGGGAUGACGCCCUUCGGGGUGUAAACCACUGUUGCUCGAGACGAAUAGCGGACUUUAGUUCGCCUGACGGUAUCGAGUGAGGAAGCACCGGCUAACUCCGU